AAAAAGACUGCAGUGAGGUAUGAUAUUUAUACUUUUUAAAAGACAUGUACUUAGUAAAUGCUGGCACUCCAAAGGCCCAGAUGAGACUGCAUCCCCUUGGCAUACCUUGUGUACAGUCACAAGGUAUGAGACAGCUUCUGCUCCUAGGAAUUUAUCUUCUCACUUUUAACCUUUACAGAAGGAGGUUAUCGUGCCUAAAAAUGCAAGAGUCUGGAUGGAAAGUUGAGAGUAGAUCCUAGAUUGCCAUCCCAGUACUCUGCAUGAUAACCUGGGCUCCAGGUUGCUCGCUGCCUUCCCUCAGCAGCACCAGGUGCAUGGACUGGGGUUCAGUUUCUAUCACACCCAAUACUUCCUGAGCACAGAAGAGGAAGCAAACCCAGUCAUGAAAAGCUCAGCAGCUGUAGCUGCUUAAUUAAUGGGGUUAUUUUAAAUCCAGUCACUUAAAUUGCCGUGGACACCCUUUAUUAUAGCCUAGACAAUUUUAUUUCAAGUUAGUUUUAAUCAAUUAGGAAUUGAUUUUAGCUAAGUCUGUAUAAGAACAUCUGAUCUAGUUUAACUAAAUUGGUUUUAGAGAAGUGAAAUGGGUGUAAAUUCAGCAUGAGCCUAAGGAAGAUCUCCCUUUGCCUGCUAAUGACUAGGUAAAGAGGAUCACAGUAAAACAGCAUGUGAUGUGCAAACUCAGUGCUGGCUGUCUUUGCUCUGCACAGGCUGCAGCUUCCUGAACCGCUGAGGUAGUGACACAGCCUGGUUGUGCUCCAUUUGUUUUUCAUGAGACUAUUUUCUGCCAGGCCAGCACUUUAAAGGGGUCUGCAAAGGUGGCAGAGUUGGAGGUUUGUUGAGCAGAGUGGUUGGUAGUAAGUGGAGGGGAGGUGGGAGCUCUGCAUGGUGGAGUUGAGAUGCCAGGUGAACUGAGAGUUAUUACUGAAAGUUUUGAGCUGUGGCCCUUUUCUAUGAUACUAUCUCAUGUUCACAGCUACUGAACACUUGUAAAGUUAUGUUAUUCUUUCAUGUGUCUUUAAUUCCAACUUCUGAUGUUUUUUCAUUCCAAAACAUUAUUUUGCUAUUUUAGCUAUACUUUAGAGCUGGAACUAUGUUUAAAAAAAUACAUGAAACAACUCUCCUGUUAUCUUCAAUUUGCUGUUGUUGUUUUUAUCGUGAUCAUUAGGAGCUCUCAUGUGGGAACUCUUUAUCUCAGAACGGUGAAAAUCUUUGUUUCCAUUCUUAUAAACAGAAAGAACAAAGCUACUGCAAUCAAGGACCUGCUACUUUGGUGCUCUCAGAAGAAAAAAAGCAAGAUUUCUACCUAGGACUUGUUUACUUUGUGCUGGAGCUGUUCCGAACUUGAUUUCUUCUUUGCAGCUGACAAAAGGUGCCAGCCUAUUUAACAGCUGCCUGGAGAUAAGCUCUCGUUGGAUGCAGACAGCAGGUGCGGCAUGGGUGGCAGUGUCGGAUGCCAGCUGAGACAUUGCACAGAGAGCCACGUCUCCUCUGCCUCCAUGUUCACUUUCCCUGUUGGUGGGAGCUGCCAACAGAGUGUUGCAGAAGAUGCUAAUUUUUCGAAUGGAGACCGAAUGCUUUGGAGCCGAACAUAUUCCAUAUGUUUUCACACCUGAAAGCUUUUCAAGAGAUCUGAGAUGUUUCCUUUUAUGCAUGUACAUGGAACUCUUUUUUUGCUUGGCUUUACAUUUCUUACUUUAAAAAAAAAAAAGCAUAUGAUGAUUCCUUCCAAUGUGUGCUUAUAGAAACUGGAGACAUUUGCAUUCCUAGUAUAGAGAAGAUGGGGACUUGACAGUUAUUUGAGUUGGCUUGUUGUUUCUGGUUCUGACUUAUUGCAAACACUGUGUCUACUGCUGUAUCUCUAUUGACUGAAGACAGGCAUCCUGAGGGAUAACUUUGUUUUCCCUCUUAUUUAGAAAGGGGAAAACACGACUCCAGCUCUGCUACUUGUGAAGACAGACACAAAUUUCUAAUGCAGUCUGAGUAAGAUUGAAAGUGUCACCAAGCUCUGAAAAGUGAUCAUUCAUUCACCCUGUCUUCUCUGGGGUGCCCCAGCAACCUGUGGCUUUGGUGUCCAGAGGUGUGUUGGGAAGGCUGAAAAAACAAGUGCUUGGCACUGCUUGAGGUAAAUCAGUGAGGAAGUACUGGUGAGAAGCUAUGAAGGAUAACCAACUCAAAUCCAAAGCUUUGCCAGUUCCAAAGCAGUACAUCACCCGACCUUCCCCUUAUUUGUGUUCAACCUGGCAUACCCUGCCCAGGCCCUGAGUUCAGUAGCUUUGAGAUAGUGUCCUUGGGCCUUAGUCCAAAUGGUGGCUGGGAAGGUUUUACUUUUGCAUUUCUAGAGCACCAGAGUUGCUCAGAGUUUUUCUGGCAGCUUAAAUAUUGGUCUUAGCAGAGAAAGGCCCUGAUCAUGUCUUACAGUCCAAGCAGAAAGGAUGAACAUGAGUUAGCACUCAAGAGCUUGUCUUUGUCACUACAGAAACUGAAGAAAAAGCUUAUUUUUUCAGCAUUGCCCUUCUCUUGACUGAAUCAGCACAGGCAAUGUUCUGACUUCCCAUUAAGGACUUGCUGGGUUUGACAGCCCUGAAAAUGAAGGCACAGGUAGAAUUCAGCAAAAUGGUCUAGAGUGGGUACCAGCAGUAGUGCAAGGCUGGCAGUGGGAAGCUGGCACAGAGUAGUAGCCCAGGAAUUUAUCUCUGGCCUCUUUCACUUUGCUUGAGCCUCUGUAGGGGUAUCAGCUAGCAAUACCCUUACCUUCUUUCUUAAAGAAAAACAUGGCCAAGCUCUUAAAGACAUAGAGGAUUCCCCUAAAUUGAGGUCUUUCCCUCCUAGAAUGUGAAAACACUCAUUCUUUAUAUUUUGUACCUCUUUCCUGCAGCUGCUAGAAAUAAAAAUGAGGCUGAAAGAAAUGGCAAACAUCACGCUUCAAGCCUGAAAAAUCUGUCGUUGCCAAGCACCUGAAUAUGGACUUCUCUAGGCAAGCUACCCAUCUGCUGGAAGGAGACCUCUGCUCAUUCAAAUGAGAGAAAAUCAAAAUCCUUGCUGAGCAGCAGUGAAAGAGCAAUGUUGCUGCCUGGAAUUGCAUCAGGAGUUCUGUACUUAUUAGGCCCUGUAACCGCUACAGCUGAGAAACAAGUCUCUGAGACUGUUCGAAAGCCCAUGGAUUCUUUCUUGCGUUAAUUAGUGAGAAAUGAAACAAACAGCAAAUGUGUGAAAGAAAAGGAUUAAGUAUCUCAUAUCUUGAUAGCUCAAUGAAAUUGCAAGGAGAAGGGAUUCUACCUGUUACUGAUAGGAAAUAAGUCUUUUUUUCUGACUUUGAGCAGAAUUCAUCAUGAUUUUUAUCUACUUGUGGACAGAGAAGUUCAACUAUCGAGGUAAAUAUGUAACAACUAAUCCAGGGAAAUUUUUGUGAGACCAAGUAGAACCCCAUCUGAACCACUCGGGUGUACUUCUGGCUGAGAAGUACCAUAUUCUAAUUCCCUUCUGCACUCACUCUGACAUGAAAAUACAGGGAGAAGAAAACUCACAAAUGAACACACUCCUCCCCAGCACUUAGCAGCAUCAGGAAAACAAGACAAACAGAUGGGAGCCAAUGUAUCAUCACAUGAAAUCCCAUCCCUUUUGAAAACAUGCCAGCUGAAGAUGAGACAAGAUUCUUAUUAGUGUUCUUUGCUGUAGAUAACAAAUAGGAUAUUUUUGGCUUAAAGGUAGCUAGCGAGUGCUUUACUUUUUUAUCCUCCUUUGGAUGCAUGUUGUCUUGGCCAGGUGACCUCUGAAGCUUGAGAUGUACAGAAGUACGAGACGUUCCAGAGAAAUAUCUAAAUGACUUUGGCAAACUUUCCAUCGUCUAAAUCUUGCUUUCCUGAUGUGUCUGUCCACGACUAGAGUUCAGUUUUACCCAGAAAGACCAGCAGUUACUUUUCAGGCUCUUGAGCUGUGUUUCUGUCCACAGUUGUGGUAGCAGGCUUUCCUUGCCUUGUUGACAGUCUUCCUGUUGUCAUGCACAAAACUGGUUUUUGGGAUCCCUCUCCCCUCCAUGCAGUUCAGUGGUGACAUCUGGAAAUAUUACUCAGGAAGUUUCUGAACAUCUGGGCCUCCAGCAGGCUCAGCACCUGCAUCACCAUUGUCCCAAGGCCUCUCCCAGCAGCGAGCUGUCACUCCCCACAGCUGUCCUCUCCGGGCUCUCUUCCUCAGCCUGUCAGCAGCUUCUCUGACAGCAGCCAGGCUAGUGGAUCCUGGCCAGCCCAUUUUCCCAACCUGUAAAUGUGAUGGAAGGUUUUUCUGCUUGCAAUUAAUGUUUGGUUUCCAUCCCUUGCCAUGAAGUGAGGAAUGCUUCUGCGGCAUGUGCAGAGGCAUAGAUUUACCAGGGCAUCUCCCUGGCCUGCAACAAAUUGUCACUUCUCAACUGCAAAUCUAUCAAGCCAAGUGUUUCCUCAGCUGAGCUUUGAGAGAGGCUACUUAUGGGUGCUUCCUCCUCUUCUGAGCCACAAUGCAGGUUUGCUGGGUCUGUGCCAAAGGCUCUUACUUUCAGCUUCAGUAUUGCCUCAGCAGUGUGUUUGUCAGCAGUGAGCAACCUGUUGAACAGACCUCUUCCUCUGCUUCACCCUCUGUGGGGCCAGGAACAAGUAAGUGUGAUCAGAAGGAGGUUUGCCUGACAGAUUUGCUCCCAGGCAGCCGCUGGUCUCUCUCCACACAGCUGGUGGUGGGGCUGGGUCUACCCCACAAUGCACAUCUUCACACACACGUUCCUGUGUGUGUAUCAUGCAAGAUUGUACAAAGCUUUACAUAUAUAUAGUUACUGAAGCAAUCUGUGAAUAUAUCGCUCAAGAGACCCAGAUUUUAAUACAAACUCUAGAAAGCUGGAAUAUAAGUGGAUGGUUGGACUGGUUGAAUUUGUAGGUCUUUUCCAACCUUGAUGAUUCUAUGAUUCUUUGAUCAGCUCUACUGAAGCCAAUGGGAAAAAUGAAUUGGAUUAAUGUCCCAAUUUAAUCAAGUUAAGAAGGAUGUUUAUAUGAACUACAGCUUUUCGAAGUAGUAAAUGUUUGAGUCUGUUAAACAUUGCUGUUUAUGUAUGUGAUGUAAAAUAUAUUUUCUAGUUGUUAAGAACCAUUACUAGAUAAUUUAGAUAGUAACAAGGAUAGUAUUUUGGGAAAGAAGUUUAUACUUUUAUACUAAAGUAUACUUUAGUACUUUAACUAAAGUUAAGUACUGUGCUGCUAGAAGACAGAAUAUAGAAUGAAUACUGAGUUCCUCUCUCUAAAUUUUACAGUAUCGUACACUGAAAGGGUGGACAAACUGUGGGAGUCCUAAAUACUGCUAGUGAUUCCAUCUAGCUAGUCAGUUUAUGUAAAAUCAUUGACCUUGAUCUGAGGAUAGACCUCUUUAACACAAUCAAUACAGGUGCAAUCAGAUAAGAACAUUCUACUGUUUUAUUAAAGUGCAUCUAAUUCAAAACUCAAUAACUCUCACAAAUCCUUAAUCAGAGAAGACAUCCUGGGAGGUAUUUAGGUGAGUGAUCUUAUAACUCUUUCUCUCUCCUUGUUAGGAUGGCAUUUUACAAAUAGACAUGUCUGUUUCCUCUUUACCCUCUCUGCCAUAAUUCUUUCAGUGUACAGUUGUGUUGAUUAUUGUGCAUUUAUCAAGUCUCUUUUCCCCUUCAUUUAUUUAGAGGGAUUGAGUCAAGUGACAGCUUCUGCUUACCUCAUCCCCCAGGGUCGCUGUGGGCAGGCAUAUAAAUGCAAAUGUGCCUCCCUUACUGGCACACUGAGCCCUAUAUUCUAGUCUGUGACUUAGAUGCGUUACUCUAUAGGAGGUGUAGUAAAAAUGAAUGCUGCCUAACUCAGGGUGGCCUGGGAUAAUGAAAGAAAACAGUCCAUGUGCAGCAUAAUGUGAUAGCUUAAGUAGAACGAAAGGCAAAGACAAUGACUGAAUUUUUAGAAAUGAUUUUAAAUCAGAAUGAUACAUACUGAGUAAGACAAAAUAAGCCCAUGGUAGAGAGCUCUGAGAGCACUGCUUACAGUGAGAUAAUUAUUAUCCUUUUCAGGUGAUCCUCAGCAUGUUCCUUGAUAAUGUGAAAUAAAUUGUAAUUUGGAGCAUUUGAGCUGAGGGCAGAUUUUUUUUUUUUUUUGUCAUUUAAGUGCACAUACAACAGACUGAGGGCAUUAGAUCUCUUAGAGUGAGUGCAAACAACUGCAUAUACUUAUCUAAACUCCAUCUCCUUGUUUUACACAAAACAGCACUUAUCCAAUCUAUGAAAUAAAGUCAGAAAAAAGGUAUCAUAUGUGAUUGUAACUAUAAACUGCGCAGAAAGGCUUGAAGAUUGCUGCAGUCUCUUUAACAUGUGUCUGGUCACAAAAGAGGAGAUCUGAACACUGAUUUUUCAUGGGUAUGAGUCUUUUACACAGAGUCUUGAAUAAAAGCCGUAAUAGGAGUGGAUCUGAUUGGGGUGGAUUGACAUUACUGGUCAGAGUUGAUUAAAUUUAAAUAUCUCUUUUGUAGUGGAAAUGCCAGGUCACAGCUUAAAGCACUGAUUGAGCACCUGGUGGGAAGGCUGGGCCAGCUUAGGGGAGCUCAGGUACAUAUAACACACCUGAGACAAGACAGGAUCCUGGCUCCACCCCUUCCCAGACCUCGUGUAAGGGUUAGCAGUGGAGACAAAGGCUUCUUACUGGAGGUUCCUGUGUACUUCAGGCCUUCUGAAGCGAUUUUUAGAAAAGUUGAUGAGGAUGAAGAGUCACAAACUCCUCAAAUCCAACUCUGGUAAGAAAAGUCUCUGACCUUGAGCAUAUCCUUCAACUUCACUUUCAUUUCUUCCUUGUGAAAAUAACAGUGCACUUGCAGACAUUUAAUAACGGGGAAAUUUCAGUGAAGAGAGGAAGUCCUUUGGUGCACUUUGAUAUCAACAGAAAUCAGCAAUUCCAGUAGGUCAAGUCAGAUGGUCAAUAUGGGAAGGUUUAAAAUAAGUUUUCUUGUACAAGCAAGUCAGUGGACUAUUUGGGAGAUUCUCCUGGAAGGCAGAGAGAUGGCUGUCCUGUCACCUCUUCUAAGCAGUCAUUGCUCUACAGCUUUCAUAGGAAGAAGCUACAGGAGGAAUCUGCUGGACUGAUGCAUAGCAUGUGGUGUUCCUGCCUUGGCACUCUCUUUUCAGCAUAUAUUGCCCAUUAUUCUGACUGCUCCAGCCCUUCCAUAUGUCUGUGAACGUACUUGAGGGAGUUGGGAGUGGCAUGGGGUGAGCUAAUCUUUGCCCUCAGAAACUCUUCUUCAUAAUUCCUGGUAUGUUGGCCUUUGUCAGGUGACACCUUCAGAAAACUCCAGAGUGAACGUGGUUCAACCUUUGCAGAUUUCAGCACAGAAAAUACUACUCUGGGUCUUUUUCUGUUUACAAAUGAAGUCAGUCUUCCCCCCUCCCCC
Molecule: long non-coding RNA, 7407 nt
Organism: Meleagris gallopavo (turkey)
Lineage: Eukaryota; Metazoa; Chordata; Aves; Galliformes; Phasianidae
Source: RefSeq, a predicted model, not a curated record